UAUGACGUGCCAGCAGCCGCGGUAAUACGUAGGGUCCAAGCGUUAAUCGGAAUUACUGGGCGUAAAGCGUGCGCAGGCGGUUGUGCAAGACCGAUGUGAAAUCCCCGAGCUUAACUUGGGAAUUGCAUUGGUGACUGCACGGCUAGAGUGUGUCAGAGGGGGGUAGAAAUUCCACGUGUAGCAGUGAAAUGCGUAGAGAUGUGGAGGAAUACCGAUGGCGAAGGCAGCCCCCUGGGAUAAACACUGACGCUCAUGCACGAAAGCGUGGGGAGCAAACAGGAUUAGAUACCCUGGUAGUCCACGCCCUAAACGAUGUCAACUAGUUGUUGGGGAUUCAUUUCCUUAGUAACGUAGCUAACGCGUGAAGUUGACCGCCUGGGGAGUACGGUCGCAAGAUUA
This 399-nucleotide ribosomal RNA is filed under the name uncultured bacterium. Its description in RNAcentral is "bacterial SSU rRNA". It matches the Rfam family "Bacterial small subunit ribosomal RNA", at positions 499 to 896 of the family's 1533-position model. The record is from RNAcentral.